This 885-nucleotide ribosomal RNA is filed under the name Levilactobacillus brevis. RNAcentral's name for it is "bacterial SSU rRNA". It matches the Rfam family "Bacterial small subunit ribosomal RNA", at positions 52 to 911 of the family's 1533-position model. The record is from RNAcentral. Lineage: Bacteria; Bacillati; Bacillota; Bacilli; Lactobacillales; Lactobacillaceae.
UGCAGUCGACGAGCUUCCGUUGAUGACGUGCUUGCACUGAUUUCAACAAUGAAGCGAGUGGCGAACUGGUGAGUAACACGUGGGGAAUCUGCCCAGAAGCAGGGGAUAACACUUGGAAACAGGUGCUAAUACCGUAUAACAACAAAAUCCGCAUGGAUUUUGUUUGAAAGGUGGCUUCGGCUAUCACUUCUGGAUGAUCCCGCGGCGUAUUAGUUAGUUGGUGAGGUAAAGGCCCACCAAGACGAUGAUACGUAGCCGACCUGAGAGGGUAAUCGGCCACAUUGGGACUGAGACACGGCCCAAACUCCUACGGGAGGCAGCAGUAGGGAAUCUUCCACAAUGGACGAAAGUCUGAUGGAGCAAUGCCGCGUGAGUGAAGAAGGGUUUCGGCUCGUAAAACUCUGUUGUUAAAGAAGAACACCUUUGAGAGUAACUGUUCAAGGGUUGACGGUAUUUAACCAGAAAGCCACGGCUAACUACGUGCCAGCAGCCGCGGUAAUACGUAGGUGGCAAGCGUUGUCCGGAUUUAUUGGGCGUAAAGCGAGCGCAGGCGGUUUUUUAAGUCUGAUGUGAAAGCCUUCGGCUUAACCGGAGAAGUGCAUCGGAAACUGAGAGACUUGAGUGCAGAAGAGGACAGUGGAACUCCAUGUGUAGCGGUGGAAUGCGUAGAUAUAUGGAAGAACACCAGUGGCGAAAGGCGGCUGUCUAGUCUGUAACUGACGCUGAGGCUCGAAAGCAUGGGUAGCGAACAGGAUUAGAUACCCUGGUAGUCCAUGCCGUAACGAUGAGUGCUAAGUGUUGGAGGGUUUCCGCCCUUCAGUGCUGCAGCUACGCAUUAAGCACUCCGCCUGGUGAGUACGACCGCAGGUGAAACUCAAAGGGAAU